GCAAAUUGUGACUUCUAAGGGCCACCAAGUUGUGGGGAUGAAGAAAACUCUGGUUUUUUACAGAGGAAAGCCCCCCCAUGGCACUAGGACUGAUUGGAUCAUGCAUGAAUACCGCCUUGCAAGCACUGAAACCACAGCCUGCAAUACCCUGAAAAAUAAAAAUUCAACUCAGGUAGAGGUUUUACUGGGUACAUUUUCUUUUCUACCAAGCUAUUUAAAAAUCAGAUCUUUAAAACCCAUUUCCACUAAAAUUCAUCUCUCUGUUCCUGCAAAGUACAAUUCCUGAAAAAGAAAAAACCUUGAGCACGUUUAACCACUUGAAUACAUUAUUGUUGCUAACUCUGUUCAUGCUUGCGGGUCAAAUUGAUCAUUUCUGUCGAAUUUUCUGCAGGGC
RNAcentral lists this long non-coding RNA (394 nucleotides) under Populus trichocarpa (black cottonwood). RNAcentral's name for it is "long non-coding RNA (PTRI_LNC000057)". Lineage: Eukaryota; Viridiplantae; Streptophyta; Magnoliopsida; Malpighiales; Salicaceae. The record is from RNAcentral.